Molecule: long non-coding RNA, 252 nt
Organism: Scylla paramamosain (green mud crab)
Lineage: Eukaryota; Metazoa; Arthropoda; Malacostraca; Decapoda; Portunidae
Exons: 3
Source: RefSeq, a predicted model, not a curated record
UUCAUCAUGCUUAAAGUUGUAGAAAAGAGGAAGCGUGUUGUGCUUACACUUAAGCAGCUGAUCAGAUCAGCUGCUGAUUAAGAUCAGCUGAUCUUUGUUAUGGAGAAGAAUGGCACAGAAAUAAUUGGAGGCAAUCAGCUGACGCCUCACCUCCUGCACGUUGUUGAAGAAGCCGGCCCGCAGCACCCCGAUCUUGCUUUGUUUGACUCUCAGCGUGCCGCGUGUUCGGUCCCGCAGGAAGUUGGGGGGCAG